CCCGCGGCCCGGCCGAGGCAACGUGGCUGGGGUUCCCUCGCACUGCUCCACGCCGGGACCAUGGGGUGCGUAGCUGGGUCCAACCCGUGCCCUGCCCAACGGCUGGAGUUAGGGGCAGGGGUGCUAGUGCGGAUCGCAAAGCCCAGGGUGUCUGCUGCCCGUCCCCGUUCCGUAGUGGGGUCAGCGGCUCCGUGACACUGUGCCCCACGCUGCGAGCGGAGAGAGGGGUUGUAGAUCGCAGAGCCGGUGGUCGCCCGGGAUGCUGCCUCACUUGGGACAAGGCCAGUGGCUGUGGCGUAUGCCAGUGUGUGUGGGUCCGAGUGGGAACAUGCCGGGGAGAGCUGGUGCGGGGCUACAGCCGAGCACAGCGCUCGCCAUAGGGGACAUCAAGCCCAUCAGCAUGCAAAGGUGCUGCCGGGGAGCCAGGCGGGGGUGGCUGAGCUCGGUGCCCCCACACCACUCACUUCAUGUAACGGGGCCCGUGAGGCCGCGUCCCCCCAUGCCUGUGCUGUCGGUGAGGCAAUCAGCAGCACAGAGCACACCGGCUCCCAUCUGGCCGUAUGCAGGGUGCGCGUGUGAGCAGAGAUAACUGCCCAGCGGACCCUGCCGGGGACUGGCACCCUGCCUGCCUUGCCUCAUCUCGCCCCACAGCCCCUGCAGGACGUUUGUCUGCUCUGCCUGGGGACUGGCACCAUGGCUAAGCCUUGGCUGUCCUACCAUGGCAGCACGGGCUGGCUGCCUGACCCUGCCCACCCCAUGGAGCCCCUGGGACAGUGCUAUCCACCCAAGGGCUUCCACAGUGGAGGAUGCAAGGGGAUCAGGAUGUCACACCUCACAGGAGACAUUUUUAGGUGCUCUAUUCCAUGCUGGCAUGUCAAGGCAUGGAACGGAGACUCAGGGCGCUGUGCGGGCCUCCCGGGGUCUCUCUUGCCACCCUGUCUAGCUCACAGCAAGACCUCCGCUUGGCCCCCAUCCACCCGGUACCAGGAAUGGCCCUGCUACUGUUGCGUUUGUCAAGAAGCAAUGGCCCUUAUCUCCUGGAGCCUGUCUCCUUGCUUUCUGGGGCUUUCCAUCCCUAGAUACCUUUCUAAGAACUGGGGCUGCUGCCUGUGCUAUUCAGAAGCGAGGAGUCAGUUAAAAAAAAAACAAAUAUAAACAGCAGAGGUGAGGUGCGCACACAUGCACACGCCACUGCUGGAGCCAAAGCUACUCUACCAGUUGCUUUCAUCACCGCGCUUUAAUUAUAAGGGUGGAGCGUUGCAAUAAAUUAUUUCAGUAAUCCAGUGGAACAACAACGAUUCAAGUCUUCCCCCGUUUACCAAGAAUCUCUGCCCUGGUUUCCAGAGCACACGCUGGGUCACUGCCUGGGCCCCGCGUGCCUGGCUGCUGGUGGGGGAGCAUGUUUAUUAAUGCCAUCCAGCGGGUCAAAACACAUGGGCUGCACAGUACUUCCUUGGAAAAAGUCACCUCCAAAGUGGGAAUGAAGCACGAGGGCAUCACUCAAAAUCCCUUUUAUCCUGGCCCCAAGAGUAGUUUAUUGAAGUCACCGGUUAAUCCCAUUAUUUGUUUCUUGGCUAAAUAAUGGUUAAUCAGAAGGCAGUUCCUGCCCCAAACUUUUAUAGAUAAGUGAGAGCAGAUGCCACAGGAGACAAACACUAAUUCCACUUGGUUUUCCCCUUUUCCGGGCAGUUUGGUGUCUGUAUCCAUGCAGCACUGCCUUAUCUUAAGAGAGGCGUCGCCAGCAGAUCGGACCGCAGCCGCCUCGCAGGUGUAAAUCACACACUGCAGAGCAUUGCACAAAAUAGCUGCCCUGCUGCCAUCCACUGCCCCCGGGACAUGCACUGCACCAAGGCCACCUAUUCCAGAGUGGGACAUCAGCCCUGGAUCACAGCAUCCACACAUGGAUGCCAAGGUGCAAUUGCCCACGUGCAGCCCAUGGAAAUGCAUCCUCCCACCUGCAACACACACAGACACUUCUGGCAGCAGCCGCCUCGCAUCGGGAGCAAAUCCCUUUGUGCCAUCAUUACAUAAAGCUGCUUCAUUCUGCUCCA
Molecule: long non-coding RNA, 2051 nt
Organism: Pezoporus occidentalis (night parrot)
Lineage: Eukaryota; Metazoa; Chordata; Aves; Psittaciformes; Psittacidae
Exons: 2
Source: RefSeq, a predicted model, not a curated record